RNAcentral lists this ribosomal RNA (978 nucleotides) under uncultured Methanosarcinales archaeon. RNAcentral describes it as "bacterial SSU rRNA". It matches the Rfam family "Archaeal small subunit ribosomal RNA", at positions 36 to 1021 of the family's 1478-position model. Lineage: Archaea; Methanobacteriati; Methanobacteriota; Methanomicrobia; Methanosarcinales. The record is from RNAcentral.
GGAUCUUAAGGCCAUGGCGAGUCGAAUGUAGCAAUACAUGGCGUACUGCUCAGUAACACGUGGACAACCUACCCUCAGGACAGGUAUAAACCCGGGAAACUGGGUAUAAUCCCUGAUAGUCCUCGGCUGCUGGAAUGCAUCGAGGACGAAAGCUCCGGCGCCUGAGGAUGGGUCUGCGGCCUAUCAGGUAGUAGUGGGUGUAACGUACCUACUAGCCUACGACGGGUACGGGUUGUGAGAGCAAGAGCCCGGAGAUGGAUUCUGAGACACGAAUCCAGGCCCUACGGGGUGCAGCAGGCGCGAAAACUUUACAAUGCCGGCAACGGCGAUAAGGGGACCUCGAGUGCCAGGUUACAAAUCUGGCUGUCGUGAUGCCUAAAAAGCAUUGCAUAGCAAGGGCCGGGCAAGACCGGUGCCAGCCGCCGCGGUAACACCGGCGGCUCGAGUGGUAACCGUUAUUAUUGGGUCUAAAGGGUCUGUAGCCGGCCGGAUAAGUCUCUUGAGAAAUCCAGCAGCUCAACUGUUGGGCUUUCAGGAGAUACUGUCUGGCUCGAGGCCGGGAGAGGUGAGAGGUACUUCAGGGGUAGGGGUGAAAUCUUGUAAUCCUUGAAGGACCACCAGUGGCGAAGGCGUCUCACCAGAACGGACCUGACGGCAAGGGACGAAAGCUAGGGGCACGAACCGGAUUAGAUACCCGGGUAGUCCUAGCCGUAAACGAUACUCGCUAGGUGUCGGCCACGGUGCGACCGUUGUCGGUGCCGUAGGGAAGCCGUGAAGCGAGCCACCUGGGAAGUACGGCCGCAAGGCUGAAACUUAAAGGAAUUGGCGGGGGAGCACCACAACGGGUGGAGCUUGCGGUUUAAUUGGAUUCAACGCCGGAAAUCUUACCGGGACCGACAGCAAUAUGAAGGCCAGGCUGAAGACUUUGCCGGAUUAGCUGAGAGGUGGUGCAUGGCCGUCGUCAGUCGUACUGAAGAA